UUCAGAGAUUGUUCAUAGUACACGAAGAAAAUUUAUCAUGAAUCUCUCAGUAGCCGUUGCUGUAUUUGUCGUUCUUGCCUUGGUCUUGCAGUCAGAAGCGGGCAAAUUUGGAAAGAGAGUUUUCACUUCUGGAUCGCGACCACAUAAUUACAGAAGGAAGCAUGUGGAAGAAUCUGAAAGUAAAGCGGGCAAAUUUGGAUGGAGAGUUUUCACUUAUGGAUCGCGACCACAUGGUUGCAGAAAGAAGCAUGUGGAAGAAUCUGAAAGUAUAAAUGAAGAACCUGUUGUAGAUGUUACAAUACAGCCUCUUGAAGUUACAGAAGCUCCUAUAGAAGUUACAGAAGCUCCUAUAGAAGUUACAGAAUCUCCUGUAGAAGUUACAGAAGUUCCUGUAGAAGUUACAGAAGUUCCUGUAGAAGUUACAGAAGCUCCUGUAGAAGUUACAGAAGCUCCUGUAGAAGUUACAGAAGCUCCUACAGAAGUUACAGAAGCUCCUACAACAGCAAAAACGGUAAUCCGCGUCGAUCCAAUCUGUGAUGGUUUUAUGGGUACUUGUCGUGACACCUGUCAGGCUGGUGAAACAGAAUUUGGUGCCUGUGAGGCCGGUGAUAGUUGCUGUGUUCCAGAAAUGUGAAUAACUGAAUGAAUCGUACAUCGGAAGCAUGCAAAAAAUCAAGAAAUCUAAAGACCUUUAACUCCAGAACACUAAAUUUAUUCUUUUUGUGUGUGGGUGAUAUUAGAAGGGAGUCUGUGCAACAUCAACCAAUUCCCCCCCCCCCCCGAAUCACAUAUUCCAAACUAGAAUUAUUAUAAACAAAA
Long non-coding RNA from Patella vulgata (common limpet), 819 nucleotides. RefSeq lists it as uncharacterized. The transcript is spliced from 5 exons. NCBI's taxonomy places the organism in Eukaryota, Metazoa, Mollusca, Gastropoda, Patellidae. The record is from RefSeq and is a predicted model, not a curated record.